AGUUGAAAGAAAGAGUUGAACUUUCCAUAAUAGUUCCUAAAACUACUGCAUUUACCGCUUUGCUAUCCCAAC
This 72-nucleotide transfer RNA is filed under the name Henricia leviuscula. RNAcentral describes it as "tRNA-Leu". Lineage: Eukaryota; Metazoa; Echinodermata; Asteroidea; Spinulosida; Echinasteridae. The record is from RNAcentral. RNAcentral also lists the same sequence under 7 other names.